RNAcentral lists this long non-coding RNA (199 nucleotides) under Elaeis guineensis (African oil palm). Its description in RNAcentral is "long non-coding RNA (EGUI_LNC009400)". Lineage: Eukaryota; Viridiplantae; Streptophyta; Magnoliopsida; Arecales; Arecaceae. The record is from RNAcentral.
CUAACUCAAUGUACCAACGACUAGAAAUAUUUUAGGUUAGAGCUAUUAAGGAUUUAGAUCUCACUGGUGUGAUCUCAUCACGGCCCUAAAACUAUUUUUCGGACCUAUUGGGUUCAUUAUAAUCUAAGAACAAUAAGAUGCAGCAUAUAAUUAAUCAAAAAUAUCUUAUUUUAUUAAUAAUAUAAAUAUCAAUUAAAUG